RNAcentral lists this ribosomal RNA (253 nucleotides) under uncultured bacterium. RNAcentral's name for it is "partial 16S ribosomal RNA". It matches the Rfam family "Bacterial small subunit ribosomal RNA", at positions 524 to 776 of the family's 1533-position model. The record is from RNAcentral.
UACGAAGGGUGCAAACGUUGCUCGGAAUUAUUGGGCGUAAAGCGCACGUAGGCGGCUUAGCAAGUCGGAAGUGAAAUCCCUCGGCUCAACCAAGGAAGUGCUUUCGAAACUGCUGAGCUUGAAUACUUAAGAGGAUCGCGGAAUUCCCGGUGUAGAGGUGAAAUUCGUAGAUAUCGGGAGGAACACCAGUGGCGAAGGCGGCGAUCUGGGAAGAUAUUGACGCUGAGGUGCGAAAGCGUGGGGAGCAAACAGG